Molecule: ribosomal RNA, 917 nt
Filed under: uncultured bacterium
Lineage: Bacteria
Description: bacterial SSU rRNA
Rfam family: Bacterial small subunit ribosomal RNA
Source: RNAcentral
AGAGUUUGAUCCUGGCUCAGAAUCAACGCUGGCGGCGUGCCUAACACAUGCAAGUCGAACGCGAGAGAGGCUUCGGCCCCAAUUGAGUGGCGAACGGGUGAGUAACACGUGGGUGACCUACCUUUCGAGUGGGGGAUAACGUCCCGAAAGGGACGCUAAUACCGCAUAACAUUCCGCUUUUGAACAAGUGGAAAUCAAAGCCGGGGAUCGCAAGACCUGGCGCUUGAUGAGGGGCCCGCGUCCGAUUAGCUAGUUGGUGAGGUAAUGGCUCACCAAGGCGACGAUCGGUAGCCGGCCUGAGAGGGCGGACGGCCACACUGGGACUGAGACACGGCCCAGACUCCUACGGGAGGCAGCAGUGGGGAAUUGUUCACAAUGGGCGCAAGCCUGAUGACGCAACGCCGCGUGGAGGAUGAAGGUCUUCGGAUUGUAAACUCCUGUUGCUCGGGACGAACGGCUUCGACCUAACACGUCGGAGUUUGACGGUACCGAGUGAGGAAGCCCCGGCUAACUCUGUGCCAGCAGCCGCGGUAAUACAGAGGGGGCAAGCGUUGUUCGGAAUUACUGGGCGUAAAGGGCGCGUAGGCGGCCUGCUAAGUCGAACGUGAAAUCCCUGGGCCCAACCCAGGAACUGCGUCCGAUACUGGCAGGCUUGAAUCCGGGAGAGGGAUGCGGAAUUCCAGGUGUAGCGGCGAAAUGCGUAGAUAUCUGGACGAACACCGGUGGCGAAGGCGGCAUCCUGGACCGGCAUUGACGCUGAGGCGCGAAAGCCAGGGGAGCAAACGGGAUUAGAUACCCCGGUAGUCCUGGCCCUAAACGAUGAAUGCUUGGUGUGGCGGGUAUCGAUCCCUGCCGUGCCGAAGCUAACGCAUUAAGCAUUCCGCCUGGGGAGUACGGUCGCAAGGCUGAAACUCAAA